Molecule: unclassified non-coding RNA, 160 nt
Filed under: rhizosphere metagenome
Description: partial ribosomal RNA internal transcribed spacer region
Source: RNAcentral
GUAGGUGAACCUGCGGAAGGAUCAUUAACGAACAAAAGAUUUACUUGAUUUAAAUCUUUUGGGAUCAACCAAAGACCUGUCAGAAGUAUUCAAAUGUAUAUUGAAUACACAAUAUAUUAAAAAUAUUACAAAACUUUCAACAACGGAUCUCUUGGUUCUG